This 585-nucleotide ribosomal RNA is filed under the name uncultured bacterium. Its description in RNAcentral is "partial 16S ribosomal RNA". It matches the Rfam family "Bacterial small subunit ribosomal RNA", at positions 355 to 1375 of the family's 1533-position model. The record is from RNAcentral.
UGGGGAAUUUUGGACAAUGGGCGAAAGCCUGAUCCAGCAAUGCCGCGUGUGUGAAGAAGGCCUUCGGGUUGUAAAGCACUUUUGUCCGGAAAGAAAUCCUUGGCUCUAAUACAGUCGGGGGAUGACGGUACCGGAAGAAUAAGCACCGGCUAACUACGUGCCAGCAGCCGCGGUAAUACGUAGGGUGCAAGCGUUAAUCGGAAUUACUGGGCGUAAAGCGUGCGCAGGCGGUUUGCUAAGACCGAUGUGAAAUCCCCGGGCUCAACCUGGGAACUGCAUUGGUGACUGGCAGGCUAGAGUAUGGCAGAGGGGGGUAGAAUUCCACGUGUAGCAGUGAAAUGCGUAGAGAUGUGGAGGAAUACCGAUGGCGAAGGCAGCCCCCUGGGCCAAUACUGACGCUCAUGCACGAAAGCGUGGGGAGCAAACAGGAUUAGAUACCCUGGUAGUCCACGCCCUAAACGAUGUCGACUAGUUGUUGGGGAUUCAUUUCCUUAGUAACGUAGCUAACGCGUGAAGUUGACCGCCUGGGGAGUACGGUCGCAAGAUUAAAACUCAAAGGAAUUGACGGGGUCAUAGCUGUUUCCU